CCCACCUUUGACAUGUACGGAAUCCUUUAGAGAUAGAGGAGUGCUCGAAAGAGAACCGUAACACAGGUGCUGCAUGGCUGUCGUCAGCUCGUGUCGUGAGAUGUUGGGUUAAGUCCCGCAACGAGCGCAACCCUUGUCAUUAGUUGCUACAUUUAGUUGGGCACUCUAAUGAGACUGCCGGUGACAAACCGGAGGAAGGUGGGGAUGACGUCAAGUCCUCAUGGCCCUUAUAGGUGGGGCUACACACGUCAUACAAUGGCUGGUACAGAGGGUUGCCAACCCGCGAGGGGGAGCCAAUCCCAUAAAGCCAGUCGUAGUCCGGAUCGCAGUCUGCAACUCGACUGCGUGAAGUCGGAAUCGCUAGUAAUCGCGGAUCAGAAUGUCGCGGUGAAUACGUUCCCGGGUCUUGUACACACCGCCCGUCACACCAUGGGAGCGGGUUCUGCCAGAAGUAGUUAGCCUAACCGCAAGGAGGGCGAUUACCACGGCAGGGUUCGUGACUGGGGUGA
This 509-nucleotide ribosomal RNA is filed under the name uncultured bacterium. RNAcentral describes it as "bacterial SSU rRNA". It matches the Rfam family "Bacterial small subunit ribosomal RNA", at positions 974 to 1483 of the family's 1533-position model. The record is from RNAcentral.